UACAGAGGGGGCAAGCGUUGUUCGGAAUUACUGGGCGUAAAGGGCGCGUAGGCGGCCUGCUAAGUCGCACGUGAAAUCCCCGAGCUCAACUCGGGAACUGCGUCCGAUACUGGCAGGCUUGAAUCCGGGAGAGGGAUGCGGAAUUCCAGGUGUAGCGGUGAAAUGCGUAGAUAUCUGGAGGAACACCAAUGGCGAAGGCAGCUCGCUGGGACGUUACUGACGCUGAGACGCGAAAGCGUGGGGAGCAAACAGG
Molecule: ribosomal RNA, 253 nt
Filed under: uncultured bacterium
Lineage: Bacteria
Description: partial 16S ribosomal RNA
Rfam family: Bacterial small subunit ribosomal RNA
Source: RNAcentral